Molecule: RNA transcript, 813 nt
Organism: Brassica napus (rape)
Lineage: Eukaryota; Viridiplantae; Streptophyta; Magnoliopsida; Brassicales; Brassicaceae
Gene name: diphthamide biosynthesis protein 3
Exons: 2
Source: RefSeq, a predicted model, not a curated record
UUUCAAAUUUUGAAAAAUAAAAAAAUUAAAAUUUUCAAAAGAUAAAAUGCUAUUUUGGUCAUUUUAGUUUUUGAAAGCUAUUUUUGUGAUAUAAACUUAGAAAUGUGCUAUUCUGAAGAUUUGUCCAUAAAAUAUACGAACCCAGAAUAUCACUAGUUUAAAUAUAUAACUCUCGGUCUUCACAACUUCGUAUAUAUUACAUUUAACGUAGCGGCGGAGCUCACAUACAGAGUGUGCCCUAAAUUUUUGCCGGGGAAGAAUAAAAGUUUUCUUUUCGAAUUUGCGGCGAGGGUAUAGCGAUGUCGUACGACGAUGUAGAGAUAGAGGAUAUGGAGUGGAACGAAGAGAUUCAAGCGUACACGUAUCCUUGCCCCUGUGGCGAUUUAUUCCAGAUCACGAAGGAGGAUCUACGUCUAGGCGAGGAGAUCGCCAAUUGCCCGAGCUGCUCCCUCUAUAUCACCGUCAUCUACAACAUGGAGGAUUUUCAGAACGAUACGAAGAAGAAUAACGAAUCCAAGAGUCGUCAAGCCGUCGCCGUCGCGUGAGAAUGAUCAUGUAUCAUGGGCUGGGCAAUUAUUGCAGAACGGCAGGAGAUAUUGUUCUUUUUUGCAAAAGUUUUGGAAACCAUAUUGGAAGCGUGUAUUAUGGGGUAUUAUUUAUUACAUUAACCGAAUAUAUAAGCAAGUAAACAGAAUGUGUUCUGUUGCUGAUCAUUGCCAAGGAUAGGUUUGUAAGUCUACAUUGCCUAUUUUAUUUGGGUGUUUGUAGUUCGAAAUUUUGAUGAAGCAGACUGAUAAGAAAACUCGACUAAAA